AAAAAAAUGAACUGUAAGAAAAGGAUUUAUUUGAAAAACCAUUUCCACAGAAUAAUAUUUCUGAAGCCCUGGAGGUCAUAACUCAUAACACCUGCGAUAUUUCGAAUCCAAACAAAAUCCAUGAAAAGAAGAAAAGGACAAAAUUUUGUUCUGAUUUGGGGAUAUUUUAGCUGCACCUUCUCAUUAAUUAUCUCCCAGGGGACCAAAAACUUGUCAAAACAGCAAGGUCUUCUUCUCAUGAGGGCCCCAAACCCAUUGGAAAUGGAGGUAGAAGAGAAAAAAGCGACCUGGGAGUAGGUGAUUGAGGUUGGAGAGAUGCUCUGCCCUCUGCAUGUAAUUCAAAUGUGGUUCCCAUUCAAAUGGCAAUCAUCGAUGAUAACAGGAUAGGCGACAAACAGGACCAUUUCCACCUUAAAGAAGCUCUUCCAGAGCCUUAAACCUCCCAAUUACAACUUUCAACUUCUGUGAUUCCUAGACUUGUUCAAAUAUGCCCCAUGCAACUUGUUGAUGAGACGACAUCCCACUCAGGGCUCAUCAUGCAAAAGACUUCCACCUCUCCUCGCCACAAUUUGCUGACAGGACUGGGCUUUUCCCACGUCUUUUAUUCAUUUUUUUCACGCGUUAGUACCCUUCUCAGGAAACUUUCCUUUCCUUGUUUGCUUUCUCCUCCACAGCUACUCCGCUCUCGUAAGACCUCCUCAAGUUUAUUUAGGACAUGUUUGAAAGCAAUUUAAAAAAAUAAUUAAAAUGUUUUAGAAUUCUCAUAAUUAAGACAUAUCAAAUCUACUUUAAAAUUAAUAUCAACAUAUGUAAAAUCAAAUUUUAAUAACCUCUAACAAGUUUUAGAAACAAUAUCAAAAAGACACUUUUGAGUUUUUU
Molecule: unclassified non-coding RNA, 879 nt
Filed under: Hevea brasiliensis (rubber tree)
Lineage: Eukaryota; Viridiplantae; Streptophyta; Magnoliopsida; Malpighiales; Euphorbiaceae
Source: RNAcentral